AUGCAAUGAACUUAAAAUUCAUUUAUAAAGAAAAAUCUUUUUUUAGA
This 47-nucleotide transfer RNA is filed under the name Aiceona himalaica. RNAcentral describes it as "partial tRNA-Leu". Lineage: Eukaryota; Metazoa; Arthropoda; Insecta; Hemiptera; Aphididae. The record is from RNAcentral.